RNAcentral lists this long non-coding RNA (268 nucleotides) under Elaeis guineensis (African oil palm). RNAcentral's name for it is "long non-coding RNA (EGUI_LNC013619)". The record is from RNAcentral. Lineage: Eukaryota; Viridiplantae; Streptophyta; Magnoliopsida; Arecales; Arecaceae.
CUAUAUACAGAUUUGUACAUAGAUUUCUUUUUAACAAGGAGUAUAAGUUGUAGUAUGUAAGGGAGGUUAUCAUUAGUUUCAUAUUGAUUGUGAAUCAAGAGAGACUAUGACUUAUAUAUGAAUGGACCAUUCAUCCUACAUAAAGUAUCUUUUGAAGAAUAAAAUCAUAAAAAUUAUGAAGUAAAAUAAAUAAUAAUUUAUAUAUCAACUCAUAAAUCUUUGGCUGCAACGGUUUACAUGGCAAAUUGGUUACUGAGCUUGUCUCCAG